ACUGAACGCUGGCGGCAGGCCUAACACAUGCAAGUCGAACGAGUGGCGGACGGGUGCGUAAUGUCUGGGAAACUGCUCGAUGGAGGGGGUUCACCACUGGAAACGGUAGCUAAUACCGCAUACCAUCGGAUGUGGCCAGAUGGGAUUAGCGAGUAGGUGGGGUAACGGCUCACCUAGGCGACGAUCCCGAGCUGGUCUGAGAGGAUGACGGGCCACACUGGAACGUGGACACGGUCUAGACGCCUACGGGAGGAAGUAGGGGGGAAUAUUGCACGAUGGGCGCAAGCCUGAUACAGACAUGCGGCGUGUAUGGAGAAGGCGAUCGGGUUGUAAGGUACGUUAAGCGAGGAGGGGUUACUCGCAGAAGAAGCACCGGCUAGCUCCGUGCCAGCAGCCGCGGUAAUAC
RNAcentral lists this ribosomal RNA (406 nucleotides) under uncultured bacterium. Its description in RNAcentral is "partial 16S ribosomal RNA". It matches the Rfam family "Bacterial small subunit ribosomal RNA", at positions 30 to 526 of the family's 1533-position model. The record is from RNAcentral.